Molecule: ribosomal RNA, 429 nt
Filed under: Pseudomonadota bacterium
Lineage: Bacteria; Pseudomonadati; Pseudomonadota
Description: Proteobacteria bacterium partial 16S ribosomal RNA
Rfam family: Bacterial small subunit ribosomal RNA
Source: RNAcentral
UGGGGAAUAUUGGACAAUGGGCGAAAGCCUGAUCCAGCCAUGCCGCGUGUGUGAAGAAGGUUUUCGGAUUGUAAAGCACUCUAAGUUGGGAGGAAGGGCAGUAAGCGAAUACCUUGCUGUUUUGACGUUACCGACAGAAUAAGCACCGGCUAACUCUGUGCCAGCAGUCGCGGUAAUACAGAGGGUGUAAGCGUUAAUCGGAAUUACUGGGUGUAAAGCGCGCGUAGGUGGUUCGUUAAGUUGAAUGUGAAAGCCCCGGGCUCAACCUGGGAACUGCGUCCAAAACUGGCGAGCUAGAGUAGGGCAGAGGGUGGUGAAAUUUCCUGUGUAGCGGUGGAAUGCGUAGAUAUAGGAAGGAACACCAGUGGCGAAGGCGACCGCCUGGGCUCAUACUAACACUGAGGUGCGAAAGCGUGGGGAGCAAACAGG